RNAcentral lists this ribosomal RNA (250 nucleotides) under uncultured prokaryote. RNAcentral describes it as "partial 16S ribosomal RNA". It matches the Rfam family "Bacterial small subunit ribosomal RNA", at positions 524 to 773 of the family's 1533-position model. The record is from RNAcentral.
UACGUAGGGGGCAAGCGUUAUCCGGAUUUACUGGGUGUAAAGGGAGCGCAGACGGGAAAGCAAGCCAAAUGUGGAAGCCCCGGGCAUAACCCGGGGAGUGCAUUUGGAACUGUUUACCUGGAGUGCCGGAGAGGUAAGCGGAAUUCCUGGUGUAGCGGUGAAAUGCGUAGAUGUCAGGAAGAACUCCGGUGGCGAAGGCGGCUUACUGGACGGUAACUGACGUUGAGGCUCGAAAGCGUGGGGAGCAAAC